This 749-nucleotide ribosomal RNA is filed under the name uncultured marine haptophyte. Its description in RNAcentral is "bacterial SSU rRNA". It matches the Rfam family "Bacterial small subunit ribosomal RNA", at positions 537 to 1294 of the family's 1533-position model. Lineage: Eukaryota; Haptophyta. The record is from RNAcentral.
AGCGUUAUCCGGAAUCAUUGGGCGUAAAGCGCCUGUAGGUUGUUUAAUAAGUCCGUUGUUAAAGACUAGGGCUUAACCCUAGGAAAGCGAUGGAAACUGAUAGACUUGAGUAUGGCAGGGGUAGAGGGAAUUUCUAGUGUAGCGGUGAAAUGCGUAGAUAUUAGAAAGAGCACCGGUGGCGAAAGCGCUCUACUGGACCAUUACUGACACUCAGAGGCGAAAGCUAGGGUAGCAAAAGGGAUUAGAUACCCCUGUAGUCCUAGCCGUAAACGAUGGAUACUACAUGUUGUAUUUAUUUUACAGUAUGGUAGCUAACGCGUUAAGUAUCCCGCCUGGGGAGUACGCUCGCAAGGGUGAAACUCAAAGGAAUUGACGGGGGCCCGCACAAGCGGUGGAGCAUGUGGUUUAAUUCGAUGCAACGCGAAGAACCUUACCAGGGCUUGACAUACUGCGAAUCUCUUUGAAAGAAGAGAGUGCCUUCGGGAAUGCAGAUACAGGUGGUGCAUGGCUGUCGUCAGCUCGUGUCGUGAGAUGUUGGGUUAAGUCCCGCAACGAGCGCAACCCUUGUUUUUAGUUACCAAUUCGUUGGGUUUUCUAGAAAGACUGCCGGUGACAAACCGGAGGAAGGUGAGGAUGACGUCAAGUCAGCAUGCCCCUUAUGUCCUGGGCUACACACGUGCUACAAUGGUGAGGACAAAGAGUCGCAAGUUUGUAAAAACAAGCUAAUCUCGUAAACCUAACCUAAGUUC